This 722-nucleotide ribosomal RNA is filed under the name uncultured Bacilli bacterium. RNAcentral's name for it is "bacterial SSU rRNA". It matches the Rfam family "Bacterial small subunit ribosomal RNA", at positions 56 to 751 of the family's 1533-position model. Lineage: Bacteria; Bacillati; Bacillota; Bacilli. The record is from RNAcentral.
AGCUUGCCUAGAUGAAUUUGGUGCUUGCACCAAAUGAAACUAGAUACAAGCGAGCGGCGGACGGGUGAGUAACACGUGGGUAACCUGCCCAAGAGACUGGGAUAACACCUGGAAACAGAUGCUAAUACCGGAUAACAACACUAGACGCAUGUCUAGAGUUUAAAAGAUGGUUCUGCUAUCACUCUUGGAUGGACCUGCGGUGCAUUAGCUAGUUGGUAAGGUAACGGCUUACCAAGGCAAUGAUGCAUAGCCGAGUUGAGAGACUGAUCGGCCACAUUGGGACUGAGACACGGCCCAAACUCCUACGGGAGGCAGCAGUAGGGAAUCUUCCACAAUGGACGCAAGUCUGAUGGAGCAACGCCGCGUGAGUGAAGAAGGGUUUCGGCUCGUAAAGCUCUGUUGGUAGUGAAGAAAGAUAGAGGUAGUAACUGGCCUUUAUUUGACGGUAAUUACUUAGAAAGUCACGGCUAACUACGUGCCAGCAGCCGCGGUAAUACGUAGGUGGCAAGCGUUGUCCGGAUUUAUUGGGCGUAAAGCGAGUGCAGGCGGUUCAAUAAGUCUGAUGUGAAAGCCUUCGGCUCAACCGGAGAAUUGCAUCAGAAACUGUUGAACUUGAGUGCAGAAGAGGAGAGUGGAACUCCAUGUGUAGCGGUGGAAUGCGUAGAUAUAUGGAAGAACACCAGUGGCGAAGGCGGCUCUCUGGUCUGCAACUGACGCUGAGG